GACGAACCGUGCGAACGUUAUUCGGAAUCACUGGGCUUAAAGCGUGUGUAGGCGGAUGGGGACGUCGGUUGUUGAAAGCCCCCGGCUUAACCGGGGAACUGGCACCGAAACGCCCCGUCUCGAGGGACGUAGGGGGACCUGGAACUUCCGGUGGAGCGGUGAAAUGCGUUGAGAUCGGAAGGAACGCCCGUGGCGAAAGCGAGGUCCUGGACGUCUACUGACGCUGAGGCACGAAAGCCAGGGGAGCGAACGGG
RNAcentral lists this unclassified non-coding RNA (254 nucleotides) under uncultured Planctomycetia bacterium. RNAcentral's name for it is "contains 16S-23S intergenic spacer region". It matches the Rfam family "Bacterial small subunit ribosomal RNA", at positions 524 to 776 of the family's 1533-position model. The record is from RNAcentral. Lineage: Bacteria; Pseudomonadati; Planctomycetota; Planctomycetia.